This 440-nucleotide ribosomal RNA is filed under the name uncultured bacterium. RNAcentral describes it as "partial 16S ribosomal RNA". It matches the Rfam family "Bacterial small subunit ribosomal RNA", at positions 338 to 795 of the family's 1533-position model. The record is from RNAcentral.
CCUACGGGAGGCAGCAGUAGGGAAUAUUGCUCAAUGGGGGAAACCCUGAAGCAGCAACGCCGCGUGGAGGAUGAAGGUUUUCGGAUUGUAAACUCCUUUUGUUAGAGAAGAUAAUGACGGUAUCUAACGAAUAAGCACCGGCUAACUCCGUGCCAGCAGCCGCGGUAAUACGGAGGGUGCAAGCGUUACUCGGAAUCACUGGGCGGAAAGAGCGCGUAGGCGGGAUAGCAAGUCAGAUGUUAAAUCCUAUGGCUUAACCAUAGAACUGCAAUUGAAACUGUUAUUCUAGAGUAUGGGAGAGGUAGGUGGAAUUCUUGGUGUAGGGGUAAAAUCCGUAGAGAUCAAGAGGAAUACUCAUUGCGAAGGCGACCUGCUAGAACAUAACUGACGCUGAUGCGCGAAAGCGUGGGGAGCAAACAGGAUUAGAUACCCCAGUAGUC